GAAUCUUCCGCAAUGGACGAAAGUCUGACGGAGCAACGCCGCGUGAGUGAAGAAGGUUUUCGGAUCGUAAAACUCUGUUGUCGGAGCAGAACAAGUAGGAGAGUAACUGUUCCUACCUUGACGGUACCCGACCGCAAAACCACGGCUACGUACGGUCCACCCGCCGCGGUAAUACGUAGGUGGCAAGCGUUGUCCGGAUUUAUUGGGCGUAAAGCGAGCUCAGGUGGUUUCUUAAGUCUGAUGUGAAAGCCCACGGCUAAACCGUGGAAGGUCAUUGGAAACUGGGGAACUUGAAUGCAGAAGAGGAGAGUGGAAUUCCAUGUGUAGCGGUGAAAUGCGUAGAUAUAUGGGGGAACACCAGUGGCGAAGGCGACUCUCUGGUCUGUUAUUGACACUGAGGCUCGAAAGCGUGGGGAGCAAACA
This 423-nucleotide ribosomal RNA is filed under the name uncultured bacterium. RNAcentral's name for it is "partial 16S ribosomal RNA". It matches the Rfam family "Bacterial small subunit ribosomal RNA", at positions 359 to 774 of the family's 1533-position model. The record is from RNAcentral.